UACGAAGGGGGCUAGCGUUGUUCGGAAUUACUGGGCGUAAAGGGCGCGUAGGCUGUGCUGUAAGUCAGGCGUGAAAGCCCCGGGCUCAACCUGGGAAUUGCGCUUGAUACUGCGGCGCUGGAAGGUGGGAGAGGAUGGCGGAAUUCCCAGUGUAGAGGUGAAAUUCGUAGAUAUUGGGAAGAACACCGGUGGCGAAGGCGGCGAGCUGGUCCAUUACUGACGCUGAGGCGCGACAGCGUGGGGAGCAAACAGG
This 253-nucleotide ribosomal RNA is filed under the name uncultured bacterium. Its description in RNAcentral is "partial 16S ribosomal RNA". It matches the Rfam family "Bacterial small subunit ribosomal RNA", at positions 524 to 776 of the family's 1533-position model. The record is from RNAcentral.